This is a non-coding RNA of Vicia faba (fava bean), 216 nucleotides long. The record is from the annotation of a GenBank genome assembly. NCBI's taxonomy places the organism in Eukaryota, Viridiplantae, Streptophyta, Magnoliopsida, Fabales, Fabaceae.
AUGAUGAGAAAAUUAGUUAGCACUUUCUGCGAAAACUUAUUGUUAUAUGUUAUAUGGAAUUGCUAUUCGAUUUAUGGAGAAUCCCUUAUUGAAAUUGAAACAGAAGCUCAUAUUUAUAAUUGUUGGCUUAGCUUCUAUGAGAAGUUUGAUAUAGGAACUGGUUUUGAGUUACAAGCAUGCCGUGUUCUGAGAAGAAAUACAAAGAAGUUUGCUUGA